AAUCAACGCUGGCGGCGUGCCUAACACAUGCAAGUCGAACGAGAAAGGGGACUUCGGUCCCUGAGUAAAGUGGCGCACGGGUGAGUAACACGUGACUUAUCUACCCUCGAGUGGGGAAUAACUUCGGGAAACCGAGGCUAAUACCGCAUAAUACCCACGGGUCAAAGGAGCAAUUCGCUUGAGGAGGAGGUCGCGGCCGAUUAGUUAGUUGGCGGGGUAAUGGCCCCACCCAAGACGGUGAUCGGUAUCCGGCCUGAGAGGGCGCACGGACACACUGGAACUGAAACACGGUCCAGACUCCUACGGGAGGCAGCAGUGGGGAAUUUUGCGCAAUGGGGGAAACCCUGACGCAGCAACGCCGCGUGGAGGAUGAAGUCUCUUGGGACGUAAACUCCUUUCGAUCGGGACGAUUAUGACGGUACCGGAAGAAGAAGCCCCGGCUAACUUCGUG
Molecule: ribosomal RNA, 451 nt
Filed under: uncultured bacterium
Lineage: Bacteria
Description: bacterial SSU rRNA
Rfam family: Bacterial small subunit ribosomal RNA
Source: RNAcentral